UUAUAGUGAAAAAGCAAAAUGGCUACGUUGAGUAGGCUUCUGCUUACAACUAAUCAAAAAUUAUUUCAUACAAACGGAUUAUCGGGGAAAUUAUUAACAAAAAACUGCAAUCAUGUGUUCAAAAACCUAGGAUCAAGAAGAUGCAUGUCAGAACAUCACGAAAUGGAGAUAACUCCAAGUCGAUGGCAAUGGCAUAAAACUAAAGAUUGGCUGCACUUUUAUUUCUUUGUGGGUGCGAUACCUGCUGCUGCGUUUGUUUUUUAUAUGAAUGUAUUUAUAGGCCCAGCAACAUUACAAGAAAUACCAGAAGGAUAUACUCCAAAGCAAUGGGAAUAUUAUAGGACCCCUGUUGUGAGAUUUUUUUCAAGAUACUUCUAUCCAAAUAUACAGAUGGAAUAUGAAAAGUUACUUCAUAAGACACAUGUUGCUAAUGUUAAGAGACAAUUGUUUGCUUUGGAGAGACAAAUAGAACUUUUAGUUCGAGAACAUCAGGACUAUAGAUAUUGGUCCUAUUCUCCUAGUAACGAACAUAAUUUAAUAGAAUUACGGAAAAUGAUAGAUGAGACCGUGAAAUAAAAGAAUAUUUAAUAUUUUGUCCUGCAAGAAAAGAUAUUAUGAACAAUUCGAACAACUCUAUGGAAAGAUUAUUUCAGCUUGAAAAGAACGUAUUAUGCAAGAAUUAAUAAAAUAAACAACAAAAUAACUUAGAAAUAAAAUAAUAUACACGAGUUACUAAUAGCAGAAUAAAUUUUCCUUUUGAAAAAUAGAAGUUGUGUCACAUAUAAAAAAAUAUAGCCCUCAAGCGUAAUUAACGUACGACGUAAGUAUACUAUAAAAAUAUAAAAAAUUUAAUUCGUAAUCAAAUCAAAAAAAAAAUUAUUUAUCACGGCUCAAAUAAACUUAACUUUACCCUAUUUUAGUAGAAAAAUCAAAAGCAGCAGACCAUCCUUUGAAAAUUCCAUGAUCGACCAUAAUUCCUUGAACCUUAAUGAACUUAAUCUGGAAUAACAUCUGAUAUCACCAAUGUUGCAUUUUUACAAAUCAUAUCAAUUAUUCUUUAAUAAAAUAUUACACAUAAGGAUGCAAGUAAACGAUGACACGCUCGAUGAAAUUGAGAAACAAUGCGGACAGAUUUCGCAGAAAGAAGGAAGAGACGAAGGAAAGGGAAUCGAUCAAAGGAGCGAUAGAGUUAAAGGGUCAGAGGGAAUCGUUCCGACAAGUGGCAAGAAACAGCGUGAAAAAGAGACCGGGAGACCUCGAGACGUCCCUGGAAGGGUGCAACAGCGAGAAGCGCCGUUUUGAGAGAGGCGCCUUCCCUCCACUAUAAAUGCGAACGCGCCGGCGAAAAUCAUCUCAGUACCAAGUGAGAAGCGAAAAAACCCACGACGGACCUCCUGUGCGAGUGUGUGUACGUGUUUAUGUGUACUCGUGCAUGGGACAGGCUCUCGAUGACUCGGGAGCACGUGUGUUGUACAUCGUUGGUUCACAGGUUGUCGCAAUUUUAACGCGGAAGAAACAGGAAC
Molecule: RNA transcript, 1523 nt
Organism: Frieseomelitta varia
Lineage: Eukaryota; Metazoa; Arthropoda; Insecta; Hymenoptera; Apidae
Gene: ND-SGDH
Gene name: NADH dehydrogenase [ubiquinone] 1 beta subcomplex subunit 5, mitochondrial
Exons: 5
Source: RefSeq, a predicted model, not a curated record